This 471-nucleotide ribosomal RNA is filed under the name uncultured bacterium. RNAcentral's name for it is "bacterial SSU rRNA". It matches the Rfam family "Bacterial small subunit ribosomal RNA", at positions 27 to 518 of the family's 1533-position model. The record is from RNAcentral.
GAACGAACGCUGGCGGCAUGCCUAAUACAUGCAAGUCGAACGGAGAUAGCAAUAUCUAGUGGCGAACGGGUGCGUAACACGUGAGCAACCUGCCUUAUACAUCGGAAUAACAGCUGGAAACGGCUGCUAAUACCGGAUAAGACCACACCAAGGCAUCUUGGAGAGGUCAAAGCGAAUUAGCGGUAUAAGAUGGGCUCGCGUCCAAUUAGCUAGUUGGUGGGGUAACGGCCCACCAAGGCAACGAUUGGUAGCCGACUUGAGAGAGUGAUCGGCCACACUGGAACUGAGACACGGUCCAGACUCCUACGGGAGGCAGCAGUAGGGAAUAUUGGGCAAUGGGAAGGAAACUCUUACCCAGCAAUGCCGCGUGAAUGAUGAAGGUCUUAUGGAUUGUAAAGUUCUUUAAUUGGGGACGAAAGAAAUGACGGUACCCAAAGAAUAAGCCCCGGCUAACUACGUGCCAGCCGCCGC